Molecule: ribosomal RNA, 119 nt
Organism: Lepisosteus oculatus (spotted gar)
Lineage: Eukaryota; Metazoa; Chordata; Actinopteri; Semionotiformes; Lepisosteidae
Source: Ensembl
ACCAGCAGCCAUAUCACCCUGCAACUCACAACUGGUAACCCACUGAAGCUAAGCAGGUGUGAGCCUGGUCAGUACCUGGAUGGGAGACCUCCUGGGAAAAACUAAGGUUGCUGCUGGAA